CAAGAAUCGAAGUACUUAGAAUUCGACUCCCGAAAUAGAAGUUGACAAAGCAAGGAUUAUUGCUGGAAGCAUAAAGUAAGCAUUUGAGGAAAUAUUAGUGGCGAAGUAAUAUCCCACCAUUGUAAGAUAAGUGAUCAGCCUAGUGUGCAUUCAUCAGUACUUAUUGUCCAUCGUGGAUAGGUAAAGGCAUCUCAUAGCACUUUAUUCUGAGUCGCUCUAUUGCUAGAGGUCGAGUCAUUUGUAAUGUAUUUUAUUUUUGUAAAUGGAUACUAGACUAAAUAUAAAUUUACAAUUGGAG
This is a non-coding RNA of Theobroma cacao (cacao), 298 nucleotides long. Lineage: Eukaryota; Viridiplantae; Streptophyta; Magnoliopsida; Malvales; Malvaceae. The record is from RefSeq and is a predicted model, not a curated record.